This is a non-coding RNA of Elaeis guineensis (African oil palm), 1069 nucleotides long. The record is from RefSeq and is a predicted model, not a curated record. Lineage: Eukaryota; Viridiplantae; Streptophyta; Magnoliopsida; Arecales; Arecaceae.
AUGAUGGUUUCUUUGAUGCUCACCAUCCUUGAAUUGAAUUUUUUAAUCUGUUUCAGGUUAGACAUAACUUGGACCAGGUCAAAACAAUUUUGGAGGCUUUGAUUAAGAGGGAAGAGAAGAAGCGAGAGGUCAUGGGCUGUGAGGUCAACCUUCAGCGUAUUCAAUCAAAGUACAAGCACGGGGCACAGCUUGUUGGAGAUAAGGCAGCAUUGCUAGGCUUUGCACCAGCUCCAUGCAACUUUGGAUCAAGUGAAGAUGAUUUUAUGGACUCAUAUGACACAGCAAAUCAUCAUUCACAUGCUUGGCCCAUUGUUGUUCAUUCGCGGUCCAGAGAUUCCAAGCUGGUGAUGGUCCCUGCAGGAUGCAUGAUGCGAGAUUUGAAAUGGAGAUCUCUGCCAAAUGGAUGGCUACAUAAGAGGGGCCCAGAUGAGCCAGUUUUUUUAUUUACAAGACUUCUGGAUCCGGACAAGCUGGCUGCUGCCGGCAUUAUGCAGCCACCAGGUCCACCCAUUGAUAAUGGUUCAAUAGUGCCUCCAUACCGCUUCCAUGGGAGGAUUGGCCGAGGAGGAUGCAUUAUCUUUGACCGAUGGAACCCCCUUUUCCAACCUCCACUUGGCCCUGAAAGCUUCCCUGCCAAAUCUUCGGCCUCCACCACCAAAUGGUUGAACCUGUGCCGUUUGCUGUUCGUUUCCAUGUUUCAGCUGCAGAGAUGAAUUGUUUCAGAAUGUUUGGCCGAAGGUCCCCUUGGUUCUUGAGAUUCUAUUUAUUCUCCAGAUGAUUUUUGAGCAUUAGAAUGUCAUGAUGGUUGGAUUCAGCCAUCUUUGUAUCAGGGCCUGGGGAGGCUGCAUCGUCGAUCAUCGUCAUUUGGUAUGAGUUUGUUGGCGUCAAACAAGUUGGACUUUACAGACUGCAAGUCUAGCCUUCCCCACAAUUGUCCAAAUUAUUCACAUUCCAAGGUGAAAAACAAGCAUUUUUCCUAACAGUCGUCCCAUUUUUGGCUUGUAUGGUUCAAUCUAAUGUCAUGCUCUUGUCCCUAUUCUUAAUUGAAAAAUGUCUAUUGCUUCCUUGA